GUCCCCGUUAUGUAGUGCUUAGCACGCCCGUUUAGCAAACGGGAGAUCUCAGGUUCGAUUCCUUACAAAGACA
RNAcentral lists this transfer RNA (73 nucleotides) under Oryctes borbonicus. It matches the Rfam family "tRNA". Rfam says of the family: Transfer RNA (tRNA) molecules are approximately 80 nucleotides in length. Their secondary structure includes four short double-helical elements and three loops (D, anti-codon, and T loops). The record is from Rfam by way of RNAcentral. Lineage: Eukaryota; Metazoa; Arthropoda; Insecta; Coleoptera; Scarabaeidae.